GGAAAAGAAACCAACAGGGAUUGCCCCAGUAACGGCGAGUGAAGCGGCAAGAGCUCAAAUUUGAAAUCUGGCCCCUCCGGGGUCCGAGUUGUAAUUUGCAGAGGAUGCUUCGGGCGCGGUCCCCGUCUAAGUACCCUGGAACGGGUCGUCAUAGAGGGUGAGAAUCCCGUCUGGGACGGGUGGCCGUGUCCGUGUGAAGCUCCUUCGACGAGUCGAGUUGUUUGGGAAUGCAGCUCUAAAUGGGUGGUAAAUUUCAUCUAAAGCUAAAUAUUGGCCGGAGACCGAUAGCGCACAAGUAGAGUGAUCGAAAGAUGAAAAGCACUUUGAAAAGAGAGUUAAACAGCACGUGAAAUUGUUGAAAGGGAAGCGCUUGCGACCAGACUCGCCCGCGGGGGUUCAGCCGGUACUCGUACCGGUGUACUCCCCCGGGGGCGGGCCAGCGUCGGUUUGGGCGGUCGGUCAAAGGCCUCCGGAAUGUGUCGCCCCCCGGGGCGUCUUAUAGCCGGAGGUGCAAUGCGGCCAGCCUGGACCGAGGAACGCGCUUCGGCUCGGACGCUGGCGUAAUGGUCGAAG
This 573-nucleotide ribosomal RNA is filed under the name Purpureocillium lilacinum. RNAcentral's name for it is "eukaryotic LSU rRNA". It matches the Rfam family "Eukaryotic large subunit ribosomal RNA", at positions 55 to 643 of the family's 3401-position model. Lineage: Eukaryota; Fungi; Ascomycota; Sordariomycetes; Hypocreales; Ophiocordycipitaceae. The record is from RNAcentral.